UGGAGGGCUACAGUCCAUGGGGUUGCGAAGAGUCAGACAUGACUGGGCAACUAAGUGCGUGCGCACAUACACACACACAUGGCAACUAAGCGUGCACACACACAGGAAGAACCCACCUGGGCAACUAAGUGCACACACAUAUGCGUGCACACACACACACACGGGAAGAACCCACUUGCCAAUACAGGAGAUGGCACUUGGUUUGAUCCCUGGGUCAGGAAGAUCCUCUGCAUGGGGACAGCAUGCUAUCCCACUCCAAUACUCUUGCCUGGAGAAUCCCACAGACAGAGGAACCUGGUGGGUUACAGUCCAUGGGGUCGCAAAGAGUCCAACACAACUGAAGUGAUUUAGCAUGCACCCACGUACUUAGGAGAAAUCCAAGUGUUUAUAUAGAGUCCCUCGAGAGUCAAAUAUAGUAGAAAACUAGUGUAAGGACGGUAAACAACAGAAAGACACUUCUGGAUGUAGAUACAUGUGGUACUUGAUAUUAAGGACUACUAGUCUUUUAUUUAACUUCCUGUGGACACUGUAUAGUGAAACUCAGGGCUGACAACCUACAGGAAUUUUUUCUCACCCUGUGAUUGGAUAGUAAGUAGCAAGUGUACUGGAAAUUAGGGUUUUCACCUUAAUUCACGAAAUUAAGAUCCUGAUCAAGUUGUGAUACAGGAAGAGAUAGACCAGCUUUUUUCCUUCAGUAUGCUGUUCCCUCAGUCGGUGAAGAAUCCGCCUGAAAUGCAGAAGACCUGGGUUCAAUCCCUGGGUUGGCCAAGAUCCCCUGGAGGAGGGCACGGCAACCCACUCCAGUAUUCUUGCCUGGAGAAUCCCUAUGGACAGAGGAGUCUGGCAGGCUACAGUCCAUGGAGUCACAAAGAGUUGGACACUACUGAGCGACUAAGCACACAUAACAUUCCCUAGUAUUGUCAGAGCAAAACAGAUGGUUUGUCACCUCUGUAAGUUAUGUUAGAAAUAUAACCUUAAUAUUAGGGGGGAUAAAAAGAUACUUUCCUUACUCUUUUAUGUAUAAUGUUUCUGGUUGGUGAAACUCAGUGGAGAUGUUGAGACUGAAAUAUUAUUGGUGGAGGCCAGAUAAUACAAGACUUUGCAGGCCCUUUGAUUUAGUUCCUGAGUAUCCUUUCCUCUCAUAGUGCAAGUAGUUUAGUUGCUUUUAAGUCUUUGUACCUUAAUAAACUAAAAGUGACUUCCCACAUGGUACAGUGGUAAAGAAUCCACCUGCCAAUGCGGGAGACACAAGAGUCUCGGGUUCAAUCCCUGGGUCAGGAAGAUCCCCAGGAGGAGGAAAUGGCAACCCACUCCAGUAUUCUUGCCUGGGAAAUCCCGUGGACAGAGGAGCCUGG
Cervus elaphus (red deer) is the source of this 1355-nucleotide long non-coding RNA. RefSeq lists it as uncharacterized. NCBI's taxonomy places the organism in Eukaryota, Metazoa, Chordata, Mammalia, Artiodactyla, Cervidae. The transcript is spliced from 3 exons. The record is from RefSeq and is a predicted model, not a curated record.